Kogia breviceps (pygmy sperm whale) is the source of this 1081-nucleotide non-coding RNA. Lineage: Eukaryota; Metazoa; Chordata; Mammalia; Artiodactyla; Physeteridae. The record is from RefSeq and is a predicted model, not a curated record.
UACUUCAGUUCCUCCGCCCGCGCCCUCCCCGCCCGGCCACUUCCCACCCUUGCGCCCGGGGUUCUGCGGAGCGCGCAGACGCGGUGGGCGCGGGCCUCCGCAGGCCCCUGUCGUCGUCUGACCCCUCCGGGCGUGGGCCUGGGGCUGGCGGCCGGGACCCCCGGCUCUGGGCCUCCCACUUUGGGCCUCAGUUUCCACAUCUACAAAGCGGGGAGACCCCUUUCUGGAGGGCGAGUGAGCGGGCUCCUCCCCAAAGCAAAGAGAACUCCGAGCCUCGGACUCUUCCCGUCUGAAAUCCGUGGGAACACCAGCUCCAACAGAUCAUUCUGUCCUUUCUUGGAAACAAGAUCCAGGGAUGUUCUUCCAAAGGGAACCUUAGAUUUUGUGGUGGAACCUGUGUCCAGAUAGGAAGCCUACACACAGAUGGAGGGAGGCUACCUGAGUGCAGGAAACAAACACGUCUUGACUGUAACCUCAGCAUUUAGCUGGGAUGCGCCAGGAUGCCAGUGUUCCCCAGGAACUCCGUUUGAAAACCACUGAACUAGAGUUUGGAAGUUAAAAGUGGUAUUUUGUGCGUAACGAGUGGUCUGAUGUCCCCAUCUCCGUGAACUCUGUCUUUGGAGAGCCGUCAGAACCGGCUGUACUGAGGCGGGGCUUCUCACAUUCCGCAGCUGGGCCUCCGAGGCAGAGGGGCAGGGGCCUCACAGCUGCUGUCUAUCCCACUCGUGUUGCAGCCCGAGAACAAUGCGUCCUGCUGACUGAGGGAGGAGAGUAAUGCUCCGCUGUUGGCGCGGUGGCUAAAGGGGGGCUCCGAGCGUGGGGAUCCCUGCAUGCUCUCUCCUUUCGUCCGGAGUUUUCUCGGGAGCUUAGCCGCUUUUCUGAGAUGUGCUGUUAUGCUGGGAAGUUGGGGGUGGAAAUCCAGUAUCCCAUACAACGCCGAAAACACACACACCAGAACUCAGACCACACUUAGCCCAGAGGAGGCCCUUCUCGCAGGUUUGGGUGGGCUUAGCUCUGCAGACUCCUACGAUCCUGAGCGAAGCAGAAGUAAGAUGUCUAGGGGGAGAGGUCCAACUCACGG